CUUCUGAUAUUGAUAUUUCCAAAUAUUUUGAACAGAACCUAACAAAAUAUCCGAAAAAAUGAAAACGACUGAAGUAAUAUUUAUCUGUUUUGUCAUUCUCUUUGUUUAUUGCUCAGCUUCACCAAUUAUUUACGAACAAUCUUCAACAGAAACAGGGAAUAUUCCUGGUGAAAUGUAUACGAGUUCUCCACGAUACGAAGAAGAAAGUUUCUCUGGAAGAAGAGUAUCUGGUCGUUUAGAUCCAAAAUUACUGGCGUCUCUAGCUGGAUGAAUGGCAGAUUGCUCGAUAGGUUAUGGACUAUUCUAUAGGAGCCAUAAUAUAGUUUUCUAUGGAUACUCAUGAAAUAUGGAACAUAUUGAUAUAAUCAAUGGAAUUAUUUGAAUAAAAUAUUCGAAAACAA
Long non-coding RNA from Harmonia axyridis, 401 nucleotides. RefSeq lists it as uncharacterized. Lineage: Eukaryota; Metazoa; Arthropoda; Insecta; Coleoptera; Coccinellidae. The transcript is spliced from 2 exons. The record is from RefSeq and is a predicted model, not a curated record.